RNAcentral lists this ribosomal RNA (253 nucleotides) under uncultured bacterium. RNAcentral's name for it is "partial 16S ribosomal RNA". It matches the Rfam family "Bacterial small subunit ribosomal RNA", at positions 524 to 776 of the family's 1533-position model. The record is from RNAcentral.
UACGUAGGGUGCAAGCGUUAAUCGGAAUUACUGGGCGUAAAGCGUGCGCAGGCGGUUAUAUAAGUCAGAUGUGAAAUCCCUGGGCUCAACCUAGGAACUGCAUUUGAGACUGUAUAGCUAGAGUGUGUCAGAGGGGGGUAGAAUUCCACGUGUAGCAGUGAAAUGCGUAGAGAUGUGGAGGAAUACCGAUGGCGAAGGCAGCCCCCUGGGAUAACACUGACGCUCAUGCACGAAAGCGUGGGGAGCAAACAGG